AACGCUGAAAGCAUCUAAGCGUGAAACUCGCCUGAAGAUGAGACUUCCCUAGGGAAUUAAUCCCUCUAAAGAGACGUUCGAGACCAGGACGUUGAUAGGUCGGGUGUGGAAGAGUGGUAACACUUGUAGCUAACCGAUACUAAUUGCUCGUGAGGCUUGACUCUAUCAUUU
Molecule: ribosomal RNA, 171 nt
Filed under: Snodgrassella alvi
Lineage: Bacteria; Pseudomonadati; Pseudomonadota; Betaproteobacteria; Neisseriales; Neisseriaceae
Description: partial 23S ribosomal RNA
Rfam family: Bacterial large subunit ribosomal RNA
Source: RNAcentral